This 219-nucleotide ribosomal RNA is filed under the name uncultured bacterium. Its description in RNAcentral is "partial 16S ribosomal RNA". It matches the Rfam family "Bacterial small subunit ribosomal RNA", at positions 524 to 744 of the family's 1533-position model. The record is from RNAcentral.
UACGUAGGGGCAAGCGUUGUCCGGAUUUAUUGGGCGUAAAGAGCGUGUAGGCGGUUCGGUAGGUCCGUUGUGAAAACUCGAGGCUCAACCUCGAGACGCCGAUGGAAACCAUCGAACUAGAGUCCGGAAGAGGAGAGUGGAAUUCCUGGUGUAGCGGUGAAAUGCGCAGAUAUCAGGAAGAACACCCGUGGCUAAAGGCGGGCUCCUCUAGUAACGGUA